RNAcentral lists this long non-coding RNA (935 nucleotides) under Agrilus planipennis (emerald ash borer). RNAcentral's name for it is "uncharacterized LOC108734477, transcript variant X3". The record is from RNAcentral. Lineage: Eukaryota; Metazoa; Arthropoda; Insecta; Coleoptera; Buprestidae.
UGUUAUCUGUUUUCUUCAAAUAUGUAUAUUUUCUUUCAUAUUCCUUUGGGAAGUCGUGGUUUUCUACCAUUUAUCACUCAAGUGGCGGAUCAGUUUUAAGGGUUGUUAGAAAUGAAUAAAAUUAUGAACAUGGAACGGAAAUGGUAAGCAGGACACAUCGAAAUUAGUGAAAUUUAUUGGAAAAAUGUUCAUCGAUUGCCUCAAUUUCACUAGCUAGAACUACCAACAUGCCUUUGAAUUGUGGAAUUGUUCAACUCUCCUACAUAUAAGACGGAACAUGGAACCAGUCAAAACUCUACACUCAUCAGUUGGCCGGAACGCUUAUUAAAAAUGUGACUGGGAUCAGUUUGAAGGAUUGUUAGAAAUGAAUAAAGUUAUAAACGUGGAACGGAAAUUGUAAGCAUCGAAAUUUAUUGGAAAAAUGUUCAUCGAUUGCCUCAUACUCUGUGGUAUUCGAUUACUAACAUGCCUUUGAAUUAUGGAACUGUUCAACUCUUGCAUAUAAGGAGACUGCAACUAGAGAAGAAAAUACCCAUCGAAACCUCUGAAAUAUCUUGGAAAUAUAGUUAGUUCAAAUUUGACAGUAACCAUUAUUUCCUAAUAUCGAAUUGCGUCCUUCGCCUAUGUUCUUUCAUCCAUUCAUCCAAGAUUUUUUAGUGUUACCUGCUUCUUCAAGUCGUCAUGAAGUUCUACCAACUUCCACUGUCAUAUGGCCUGAAUUCUUUUCCUGGGGGCGCUUACCACUUUAUUUGAUUUUUUUUUUUUAUUAAUUGAGCAUAGUGAGAAAAAGUGGAUUUAUUGAAUAUGUAUUGUGUAUAGUAUCAAGUCGUUCAUUUAAGUUGUUUUGGUAUAUUUACUGACUUUCAGUAUAAACAGUUGAAUUUCAAAUUUGAAUACCUACUUACCUUCUCAUUGAAAUUUUUUGUUUAACAUGC